Molecule: ribosomal RNA, 1467 nt
Filed under: Triticum aestivum (bread wheat)
Lineage: Eukaryota; Viridiplantae; Streptophyta; Magnoliopsida; Poales; Poaceae
Description: partial small subunit ribosomal RNA
Source: RNAcentral
AUGCCGGUGAGCGCGACGAUGGGGGUAAUGAAGCCCCUCCUCGGCAAGCUCGCCACCCUGGCGGGCGACGAGUACAGUAAGCUCAAAGGGGUGAGGAAGCAGGCGUCCUUCCUCGAGAAGGAACUGAGCGCCAUGAACGCUGCCCUUGAGAAGAUGGAGCUUAUGGAUGAGCUCGACCCGGUGGCCAAAGACUGGAGAGACCGCGUCAGAGAGAUGUCCUACGACAUGGAUAACUGCAUUGAUGACUUCAUCCGCCAAUUUGGAGGUGCUCCUGCCAAGGCAGGCUUCAUCAAAGAGACCGUUCGACAUCUCAAGACGUUGGGACAGCGUCAUCGGAUUGCUGACCGGAUGGAGGAACUCAAGGUUCUUGCACUAGAGGCAAAUGAACGGCGCAUCAGGUACAAGAUCGAUGAGUGCAAUUCUAGUUCUAGUUUUGUGGCUAUCGAUCCUCGCAUGUCGGCGAUAUAUGUGGAUGCAGCUGGUCUUGUAGGUACUGAUGGCCCAAGGAAAGAGCUUGUCAAUUUGUUAACUGAUACCGAGAAGAAGCUCAAGGUGGUGUCCAUUGUUGGAUUCGGUGGUCUGGGUAAAACUACACUUGCAAAACAGGUGUAUGAUGAAAUCAAAGGGCGGUUCAACUGUAUGGCGUUUCUUCCCAUAUCUCAAAAACCUAAUAUGACAUGGAUUCUCAACCGUCUACAAUUAAAACUUGGGAUGCAUGGUUCUUCUAGUGCUUGUGAGUUGCAAGACCUCAUUGAGGACCUCAGAAAACAUCUCACAAAUAACAGGUACCUUAUUGUAGUUGAUGACCUGUGGGAUCAAUCAGUAUGGAAUGCUAUUAGCCGUGCCUUUCCAGAAAAUGAUAAAGGGAGUAGAGUAAUAGUAACCACUCGAGUGGAAGAUGUGGCUUCUGGGGCAUGCUGCAGUCACCCAGGGUCCAUUUACAGAAUGAACUUCCUCGACGAACAAGACUCAAAAAGGUUAUUUUAUAAUAGAAUAUAUGGAUCUGAAGAUGACUGUCCAUCCCGAUUUGAAGAUAUUUCAGCUGAAAUUCUGAAGAAGUGUGGUGGACUCCCACUUGCAAUCAUUACUAUAUCUAGCCUAUUAGCCAGUCGUCCUGAAAUGGACGAGUGGGAGGCCAUAAGGAAUUCUCUGGGCACCCAGUUUGCAAUAAAUCCCACAACGGAAGGGAUAAAGAGUAUAUUAAACCUUAGUUAUAUGCAUCUUCCUCUUCAUCUCCGGGCAUGUUUUCUGCACGUUGGUAUGUAUCCAGAAGACCGUGAGAUAGAGAGGGAUGAUUUGGUUCGUCAAUGGGUUGCAGAAGGCUUCAUCAAUAAUUUGUAUGGGCAAGAUAUGGAGGUUGCUGCGAAGAGCUAUUUCAAUGAACUUAUCAACAGAAGCUUGAUUCAGCCUGAACGUACUGAUCAUGGAGAGUUGUUAUCAUGCAGAGUACAUGUCUACAUGAUAUGA